ACUGGUGAGUCUCGUUGAACAGGGCCUUUGUUCUCUGUCGGUUGGCUUGUUUGCAUUUGCUAGUCUCGGUUAUUAUAAUUAAAGGGUGCAUUGCACUGCUGAUAAGUGUGACCAGACUUCUUACAAUUUCCACAUAUUGGAGCAUAGUCAUCACUGGCCCUUGGAUUAGGACAUUCAUUGGCAUAAUGACCAAUUUUUUUGCAAC
Molecule: long non-coding RNA, 205 nt
Filed under: Physcomitrium patens
Lineage: Eukaryota; Viridiplantae; Streptophyta; Bryopsida; Funariales; Funariaceae
Description: long non-coding RNA (PPAT_LNC007528)
Source: RNAcentral